Centruroides sculpturatus (bark scorpion) is the source of this 456-nucleotide long non-coding RNA. RefSeq lists it as uncharacterized. The record is from RefSeq and is a predicted model, not a curated record. NCBI's taxonomy places the organism in Eukaryota, Metazoa, Arthropoda, Arachnida, Scorpiones, Buthidae. The transcript has 4 exons.
AAACGUCACUGCAAGAUCGUCUUUUCGUCAUCCUCUUAUAAAUCGUAGGUUAACGAGAGGUGGAGAUGAAUUAAUUAAAUAAGCUAUAUGGAAGUGCCAUACAGUGCGAUGUUCCUGCGGAAUUGAUCGUGUUUUUUUCCAUAGUACACGGGACAAACUUUCAUUUCCUGGUAGGACGUGAUGUUUGGACUUCGUGCUUCCAAGUGCCACUUCUUUUCUUAUAUUCUUAGGCACGUAGACUGACCAUCUCGCUGUCUGUCAACGCCUUGGAGAGUUUUAUGUUUGUACUGCAAGGAAUGGCAUAUAUCAUAAUCCUGUGUUCAUCGUCAUGUGUUCUGCGGAAUAUUUUCAGAAGUAGAAACAGAAAAGCUCAUCAAAUUCUUAUAAUUCUUAUGUACAAAAACACAUAAGAGAUGCCAAAUCAAAUUAAUAGUACAGAAUAUUACAAACUAAAAC